RNAcentral lists this ribosomal RNA (496 nucleotides) under uncultured bacterium. Its description in RNAcentral is "partial 16S ribosomal RNA". It matches the Rfam family "Bacterial small subunit ribosomal RNA", at positions 29 to 507 of the family's 1533-position model. The record is from RNAcentral.
AUGAACGCUGGCGGCGUGCCUAGUACAUGCAAGUCGAGCGAACAGAUGAGGAGCUUGCUCCUCUGACGUUAGCGGCGGACGGGUGAGUAACACGUGGAUAACCUACCUAUAAGACUGGGAUAACUUCGGGAAACCGGAGCUAAUACCGGAUAAUAUAUUGAACCGCAUGGUUCAAUAGUGAAAGACGGUUUUGCUGUCACUUAUAGAUGGAUCCGCGCCGCAUUAGCUAGUUGGUAAGGUAACGGCUUACCAAGGCAACGAUGCGUAGCCGACCUGAGAGGGUGAUCGGCCACACUGGAACUGAGACACGGUCCAGACUCCUACGGGAGGCAGCAGUAGGGAAUCUUCCGCAAUGGGCGAAAGCCUGACGGAGCAACGCCGCGUGAGUGAUGAAGGUCUUCGGAUCGUAAAACUCUGUUAUUAGGGAAGAACAAAUGUGUAAGUAACUAUGCACGUCUUGACGGUACCUAAUCAGAAAGCCACGGCUAACUACGUG